Molecule: long non-coding RNA, 2311 nt
Organism: Leopardus geoffroyi (Geoffroy's cat)
Lineage: Eukaryota; Metazoa; Chordata; Mammalia; Carnivora; Felidae
Exons: 4
Source: RefSeq, a predicted model, not a curated record
GGGCCUGAUUAGGGCCCCUCCCGCUGGCGGCCGCGGGCGCUUUGAAGUGAGCCGCUGCCGGGCCGCUCCGGCCGCCUGGCCGUCCCUGCCGCCAGGCCGUCGGUCCGGGGCUGGCGGCGGGGCCGGCGGCGCGUGUUUAUCCAGGUACCACCAGGAGGCCUGGCAUCAUCAGAAUCUUAUUAGAAAUGUAGAAUCUCAGGCCCCUCCCCAGACCUGCAGAGUGAAAUCUGUAUUUUAAAAGAUCCCUGGUGAAUUGGACACGCAAUAAAGUUUGAGGACGCUAACAUCUGGUUAAAAGUCUGCUAUUGCCACUGUGUGGGAACCUGUCUUUGGGAAGCUGCACCUCCUUCAUCGCAUUGGCAAGAGCUGAGCCUUCUCCAUCAGACCAGCUAUGCUUCCAGAGCAGAGGCUGUGCUUCUGGGAUCUUCCCGAGGACAGGGAUUGAUCCUCCCCAAUCAAACUGGGAAUCUGGCAGAAGCAGAGGUGGUUCUUGGUCGCAGGCCAGAAGCUCGCCUGAAGCUUGUGGUGCCACCCCCGUCUGACUGGCAGUCCCCAGGAUCCCCUGUGAAACUUGGCUGGCUUUGGGGUCGAGAGCCACCUGCAAGGAGAGGUAUCUGUUCGCGUUUUCCAAGAGGAUGGAGAAGCCAGAGCGGAGAGAUGGGCCUGUGUUGCGAUUCUGGCCAGUGAAGCAUGAGAAAAAAUCAGGGAAGGGGCCCUCCUUGGCUUAAAAUGAGGCUCAAGGUCUCCUAAUGUCUGGCUUAAUAGAAGACAGCUGGGUUCUCAUAUUGGCUUCUGCGUUCAAUUUGUUCCAAUAUCCCAUGUCAUGAAGCCCCUGGAAAACUCCGCUGUGCAAAUCCUGGGAGAACGAGAGUGAGAAAAGCACCGGCCAUCGCGGGAUUUGUAUUAGUUUUCUGUGGCUGCUGUAACAAAUGACUGUAACCUUGGUGACUGACAGCAGAAAUGUAUUCGCACAGUUCUGGAGGCCGCGAGCCUGACGUCCAGGAGUUACCAGAGCUGUGUGGUUCCCAGAGACUCUAGGGGAGAACCUGGUCCUUCCCUCUGCUGGCUUCUGGUGGCUGUCCAUGUCCCUAGGCUUGUGGCUGUGUCACUUCAUUCUCUGCCUCCAUUUUCAUAGCACUGUGUUUAUCUUAUGACAUUUGUCAUUGGAUUCAGGGCCCACCCAGAUCAUCUGGGCUUAUCUCCUCAACUCAAAAUCCUUAAUUGUAUCUGCAAAGACCUUUUUUUUUUUUUUUUUUGCAAAGAAGUUUCUAUUCAGUUUCUGGGGAUUAGGACAUGGGCCUAUCAUUUUGGGGACCACCAUUCAACCCACUACAGUAUUAUCACAAAAAUAAUUCAGCCUGUGGAACCCCUGAAAGAGUCGUGGGGACCCCUGGGGUCACACUUUGGAAACCAGGGAUCUAUGACUUCCACACAUAUAUAAGUAGGCAGAUGGUGGAAGGAGGGCCAGAUACACGUAGCCUAAUAAUCCAGUGAAAAUAAAAUUUCUAGAUAGAGUCCUAGAGGGAAGAUUCCAGCAAACGGGAACGAGAGGUGUCCAGUGUGUGAGAGAGGACCAGGGCCAGUGGAAGACCACAGAUUGGGGAGGAAGAUGGCAGGCGAAGGGCUUCUAAGUACAGGAAUGCCUAGUUCGGGGUUGUUCCUGUGUGGUACCAUGCUAUGACCCCCCACCCCCCACCCCGUCGCCUGAAAACUGAUCCAGGCUGAUAUUCACCAAGAGCUCUGCGUGAAUGAUGCUGAUGCUGGUGGAGAGCGGGACAGUCCAGGGAAGCAGCGGCUGGGGCUCCUAUCUGAGGCAGUUACAAGACAGGACGUGGCAGGCAGGAUGGUGACAUGACCCCACACUGACCAGGUCAUAUAAGAACUCAGAGGGCAGGGGUGCUAGAGAAGAUCUAAGAGACGCCCCCGAGAUUGUGAGAGAGAGGGGUUCCCAUCUUCAAGUCUGUGUGAGAGAGUAGCCUCGCUGGUUGGUCGGCAAAAGUGGAUGAGCUUCGCAGCUCAAAGGACGGGCACCCUUAACCAAUAUCCAAGUGAUUGGGUUGAGUGGGACCAGGAGCCCAGGAAAGAGAUGGGCGAGACCCUUUUGCAGGUGCCACCUCCCCAAGCAGCCCAUGAGGAGUCCCAGAACCCCUAAGGCAAGUGGAUCACAUUUAAAACAGAUUAAUCCCUCCCUCCUCACUUUACAAAUGGGAAAUCAUAAAGAGAAUGGCUGAUGAUUGUCACGUCAUACCAAUGCAAAAAAAAAAAAAAACAAACCAAACCAAACCAAAACAAAAACCCUCCACAAAACCCC